CUCUCCCAGCACAUGAAGCAAACAUGACUAGCGUUCCUCUCAGUGUUUAUGUUUCUCUAGUUUGCCUCACAGCCGUCUGUCUUGGUAAAACUGUUCUCCAGUCUCCCGGUGACUUCAUCAAGAAUCAAGAUGAAUCUGCUGUGAUCAUAUGUGCACACAAAAUACAGAGCUAUGACCGAAUAUUAUGGUACAAACAAAGUCAGGACACGUCGGGACUCAAGUUAAUGGGAUACCUUUAUUUUAAGGAUGAAACUAAAGAGACUGAAUUUAAAAACAAGAUCAAAUUGGAAGGAGAUGCACAAAAAAAUGGCAGUUUGACUAUCAAGAAGCUCACGCUGAAUGACAGCGCAGUGUAUUUCUGUGCAGCAUAUUACACAGUGUUCACAAUCACCUCUGACUCAUACAAAAACCUCCUCUUUUAAACCUCCUGUUUCUGUGGCAAGAGUUUUUAUUCACGUUCCUCUUCACACCUGUGGAUUC
Non-coding RNA from Rhinichthys klamathensis goyatoka, 480 nucleotides. NCBI's taxonomy places the organism in Eukaryota, Metazoa, Chordata, Actinopteri, Cypriniformes, Leuciscidae. The record is from the annotation of a RefSeq genome assembly.